GCCUUCGUCGUGUAGUGGUCAGCACACUCGGCGCGUAUUCGGGAGGUUCGUGGUUCGAGUCCCGGCUAGGGCA
Molecule: non-coding RNA, 73 nt
Organism: Stegodyphus mimosarum
Lineage: Eukaryota; Metazoa; Arthropoda; Arachnida; Araneae; Eresidae
Source: Rfam